RNAcentral lists this ribosomal RNA (246 nucleotides) under uncultured bacterium. Its description in RNAcentral is "partial 16S ribosomal RNA". It matches the Rfam family "Bacterial small subunit ribosomal RNA", at positions 524 to 767 of the family's 1533-position model. The record is from RNAcentral.
UACGUAGGGUCCAAGCGUUAUCCGGAAUUACUGGGCGUAAAGCGUGUGUAGGCGGAUGUUUAAGUGCAACGCGAAAUUCUCCCGCUCAACGGGAUGAACUGUGUUGCAUACUGGGCAUCUAGAGGAUGGCAGAGGCAAGUGGAAUUUGUAGUGUAGCAGUGAAAUGCGUAGAUAUUACAAGGAACACCAAUGGCGAAGGCAGCUUGGCUGGGCCAUAUCUGACGCUGAGACACGAAAGCGUGGGGA